This 120-nucleotide ribosomal RNA is filed under the name Photorhabdus asymbiotica. The record is from RNAcentral. Lineage: Bacteria; Pseudomonadati; Pseudomonadota; Gammaproteobacteria; Enterobacterales; Morganellaceae.
UGCCUGGCGGCGAUAGCGCGGUGGUCCCACCUGACCCCAUGCCGAACUCAGCAGUGAAACGCCGUAGCGCCGAUGGUAGUGUGGGGCUUCCCCAUGCGAGAGUAGGACACUGCCAGGCUU